CAGCCGCCGCGGUAAUGCGAAGGGGGCUAGCGUUGUUCGGAAUCACUGGGCGUAAAGAGCACGUAGGCGGAUCUUUAAGUCAGAGGUGAAAUCCCGAGGCUCAACCUCGGAACUGCCUUUGAUACUGGGGAUCUCGAGUCCGGGAGAGGUGAGUGGAACUGCGAGUGUAGAGGUGAAAUUCGUAGAUAUUCGCAAGAACACCAGUGGCGAAGGCGGCUCACUGGCCCGGAACUGACGCUGAGGUGCGAAAGCGUGGGGAGCAAACAGGAUUAGAUACCCCCGUAGUCCCUGUCUCUUAUAC
RNAcentral lists this ribosomal RNA (301 nucleotides) under uncultured bacterium. RNAcentral describes it as "partial 16S ribosomal RNA". It matches the Rfam family "Bacterial small subunit ribosomal RNA", at positions 509 to 807 of the family's 1533-position model. The record is from RNAcentral.